AUACGGAGGGUGCGAAGCGUUGUUCGGAAUUAUUGGGCGUAAAGCGCGUGUAGGCGGUCUUUUAAGUCUGAUGUGAAAGCCCUGGGCUCAACCCAGGAAGUGCAUUGGAAACUGGGAGACUUGAAUACGGGAAAGGGUAGUGGAAUUCCUAGUGUAGGAGUGAAAUCCAUAGAUAUUAGGAGGAACACCGGUGGCGAAGGCGGCUACCUGGACCGAUAUUGACGCUGAGACGCGAAAGCGUGGGGAGC
This 248-nucleotide ribosomal RNA is filed under the name uncultured bacterium. RNAcentral's name for it is "partial 16S ribosomal RNA". It matches the Rfam family "Bacterial small subunit ribosomal RNA", at positions 523 to 769 of the family's 1533-position model. The record is from RNAcentral.